GAGUUUGAUCCUGGCUCAGAACGAACGCUGGCGGCAGGCCUAACACGAUGCAAGUCGAACGAUAAGUCGCGGUUCGCCGCGACCCAAAGUGGCAGACGGGUGAGGAACAUGUGGGAAUCUACCCAAAGGCGGGGAACAACCCAGAGAAAUCAGGGCUAAUACCCCAUACGCCCAAUCCUUAAUCAGAUUGGGGAAAGAUCUUUCGCCUUCGGAGGAGCCCGCACGGGAUUAGUUAGUUGGCGCGAUAAUAGCGCACCAAGACCAUGAUCCCUAGCUGGUCUGAGAGGAUGAUCAGCCACACUGGGACUGAGACACGGCCCAGACUCCUACGGGAGGCAGCAGUGGGGAAUCUUGCGCAAUGGGCGAAAGCCUGACGCAGCCAUGCCGCGUGAGUGAAGAAGGCCCUCGGGUUGUAAAACUCUUUCGCCGGUGACGAUCGUGACGGUAACCGGUAAAGAAGCCCCGGCCAACUCCGUGCCAGCAGCCGCGGGUAAGACGGAGGGGGCUAGCGUUGUUCGGAAUUACUGGGCGUAAAGGGCGUGUAGGCGGAUGGAUCAGUCGGGGGUGAAAGCCCGGGCUCAACCCCGGAACGGCUUCGAUACUGUCCAUCUUGGAGGGCCGGAAGAGGUGAGCCGGAAUUCCCAGGUGUACGAGGGUGGAAUUCGUAGAUUUUGGGAGAACACCAGAGGCGAAGGGGGGUCACUGGUCCGGGUCCUGACGCUGAGGGCGAAAGCGUGGGGAGCGAACAGGUUUAAUACCCUGGUAGUCC
RNAcentral lists this ribosomal RNA (769 nucleotides) under uncultured Alphaproteobacteria bacterium. Its description in RNAcentral is "bacterial SSU rRNA". It matches the Rfam family "Bacterial small subunit ribosomal RNA", at positions 9 to 796 of the family's 1533-position model. The record is from RNAcentral. Lineage: Bacteria; Pseudomonadati; Pseudomonadota; Alphaproteobacteria.